AUGGAAUUGAGUUUGUCUCAUACGCUUCAUCUUUUUAAUAUCUUUCGUGCGUAUGAUGGAAAGGAAAAUUGUGCCAAAGUGUUAGAAGAAGAAUGCAUUAAAAUAUUUGGCACUAAAUAUUUGAAUGAUGAUCAUGAUUGCAAUGUUGUUAGUAUGAACUCCUUGAAUAUCCAUGAUACUAUUGAUAUGCAAAACCACAAGCUUGGGGAAGCUAUGUUUGAUGAAGAUGAUAUUUUUUGUCCCCCAAGUUUUGAUGAGCAAAUUUAUUAUGAUGAAAGCAUGCCUCCUAUUUAUGAUGAUUAUAUUGAGGAAAGUGGAUUUGGAGAGGUCAUGACUUUAUUUUGUGAUGAAUCCACUAUUUCGAAAGAGGUUCCAAUUGAUUAUGAGAACAAAGUUGCUAUGUAUGAUGAUUAUUGUGAUGAAUUGUAUGCUAUAAAGAAUAAUGAUAUCCAUGAAACUUGUCAUCAUGAUUUUAGUUUUCAAUUGGAUUAUGCCUCACAUGAUAAUUAUUUUGUUGAGUUUGCUCCCACUAUUAUUCAUGAGAAGAAUUUUGCUUGUGUGGAGAGUAAUAAAAAUUCUAUGCUUGUAGAUCAUGAAAAGAAUGCUUUAUGUGAUGGUUAUAUUGUUGAAUUAAUUCAUGAUUCUACUGAAAAUUAUUAUGAGGGAUGA
RNAcentral lists this ribosomal RNA (669 nucleotides) under Triticum aestivum (bread wheat). RNAcentral's name for it is "partial small subunit ribosomal RNA". The record is from RNAcentral. Lineage: Eukaryota; Viridiplantae; Streptophyta; Magnoliopsida; Poales; Poaceae.